Coregonus clupeaformis (lake whitefish) is the source of this 1022-nucleotide long non-coding RNA. RefSeq lists it as uncharacterized. The transcript is spliced from 3 exons. The record is from RefSeq and is a predicted model, not a curated record. NCBI's taxonomy places the organism in Eukaryota, Metazoa, Chordata, Actinopteri, Salmoniformes, Salmonidae.
UAGAAUGGGUGUCCCAAUUCAAGUCAAUGAGGCCCUAAUGGGUGGACCGGUGGGCAGUACUUAACAUAAUUAAAUAUAAGAAUGUAGGAAACUGGGGAAAUAUGGAGAACAAUGAAGAAUAGAGGGAAAACAUUAACAACAAAAUGAAGGGAGAAAAUAGUCCACAGAAGAGAGAGGGAAUACAAUAUUCUAAGUGGUAUGCUCGUUUGGAUAUUGGAACAUACCGCAUAACACAUUUGGGAGGAGCAAAAACAACACCAUGCCAUGAGAGAGAAAAUCAGUUGGAACUGGGAAAGGCUACAGUUCGCUCUAACUGCUGUCAUUCACUGUUUCAUCAGUGGCCAAUUCAACACUCUUUCCACAAAGAAGUUGGUCUAGCAAUAGCUUGAAUGUGUACUACAUCAGUUUUUACAUUGCUGAUGCAUUUCAAAAGACCCCUUCAGAGGAAGUUGCCACCCCUAUUUCGAUCAUUCUAGUAAUAGAGCGGAAAUGCUUGUUACGGUUCCACCUCUGAAGAAUGAUGGGAGUCUACUUAUACAUAUUCACGAAUCUGGGGUGGGAAGGCCUCAGCUCGAGACGUCUUGUUUUCCUCCGGGUGUUAUCCUUGUGACAGCGUGGCUGGAGUUAUGUCUUCUGGGGUGCGUUGGAAAAUACCAUUCAAUGAAGUCCUCUGUUUGGAACACUUUGGAGGUUGCCUCGUCUCACUAAUAGGAGAUAGUUGUCAAUAAGCCACAGACCUGCUUAUUCUGGAGGGUCCUCCCUCACAACACUAUUUUCAUUUGCUUUCAUGGCUCAGGACGCAAGGCUGUUUGGCUCAGCUCAUUUGCGAAGAGGAAGAACUUGGCAGCUGUUUCUGAUUAAUAAACAAUGCCAUGCUGGUGGGUGGUAACAUUCAAAUAAAAUCCAGCCCUGAAAAUAAAUGUAGUUUGAAAAAUAAUUUGUACGUUAUCUCAUUGGAAAAUACGGAUUUCCACGAAUGUCCCACUUCAAGGCCAAAUAUAUCACUUUGACUAAAAUGAUGA